Molecule: non-coding RNA, 283 nt
Organism: Pelobates cultripes (western spadefoot toad)
Lineage: Eukaryota; Metazoa; Chordata; Amphibia; Anura; Pelobatidae
Source: the annotation of a GenBank genome assembly
AGAGAGCCCUAUUUAGGCUUUCUUUAUUGCAAGUUCUGUUUAAUUAAGAUUUUCUUAUCCCUGCUAUGUUAAUAGCUUGCUAGACCCUGCAAGAGCCUCCUGUAUGUGAUUAAAGUUCAAUUUAGAGAUUGAGAUACAAUGAUUUAAGGUAAAUUACAUCUGUUUGAAAGUGAAACCAGUUUUUUUUUCAUGCAGGCUCUGUCAAUCAUAGCCAGGGGAGAUGUGGCUAAGGCUGCAUAAACAGAAACAAAGUGAUUUGACUCCUAAAUGACAGUGAAUUGAG